ACCUGGGUGGCUCAGUCGGUUAAGUGUCUGACUUCAGCUCAGACCAUGAUCGCAUGGUUCGUGGGUUCAAUCCCCACGUCGGGCU
This 85-nucleotide transfer RNA is filed under the name Felis catus (domestic cat). It matches the Rfam family "tRNA". From Rfam's summary of the family: Transfer RNA (tRNA) molecules are approximately 80 nucleotides in length. Their secondary structure includes four short double-helical elements and three loops (D, anti-codon, and T loops). Lineage: Eukaryota; Metazoa; Chordata; Mammalia; Carnivora; Felidae. The record is from Rfam by way of RNAcentral.